Molecule: non-coding RNA, 1892 nt
Organism: Megalobrama amblycephala (Wuchang bream)
Lineage: Eukaryota; Metazoa; Chordata; Actinopteri; Cypriniformes; Xenocyprididae
Source: the annotation of a RefSeq genome assembly
UGAUCAGUAUUCUGGUGAUGGCGUGCGUUGUGAUUGGAGGUUGGAACCUGACGUGUCUGUGACAGUGUGGCUGUCAGUCACCGCACCAGUGUGGAUCUUCACUUACUUCACAAUUACAGAUUCAACGUCUUGGAAGUUUGUUUAAAAUAAGAAGUUUCACUGGAAAAUAUCAUCUGAACAAGUACGUAACAUGUCUGCCACUUUUGUUCUGAACAACUGAGGAAAAAAAACUUUUUACAAUAAAUCGCUGCUACACAGCUACAUUGUGUGUCUCAUCCACUAGAACUUUAAACUUCAUUUCCACAAAUAUAAACCUUUUCACUCCUCAGACAGAGACGCUUUAUUAAGAGAAAAUACAGUCAAGAGUUUGGAAAUAUUGAGUUAAUUUAACAACAGGCUAAAAAAAAAGCGUCGUACAAAAACCUCCGUCACACUCAAAUGAACACAAACUCCAGCAGAGAAAGAGACGAACGACACUCACACACACUGAUAUGAGACUCAACAGCAGCUCUUCUCAACAUUAAAUAAUGAUUAUUGGACUGAAGUGACUUUCACAGAAACAGCCUCAUCAUCUCUAAAUGUCUCUUGAUGCAUGAAAAAUAAGAAUAGAACUGUAAAAUAACAAAUAAAAUAAAAAAAUUAACUAAAUUACAUAAUUCAGAAAAUGUAUGUAUGUAUGUAUGUUCUGAUCACACAUAAGACAUAAUUAUGGGUUUUUAAAUGAUCAUGUAUUUCUCAAAGCAUUUUUAAUGAUUAAAGCAAUUUUAAGUUUUGAUGACCUGUGACCUCUGGAAUGACCUUUGCCCUCGCAUGGAGUUCACAGUGAAAUACUUGUUUCUUUUAGUGAUGCAACUUCAGAAAAUAAUCAGAAAUCCUCUAAACUCAUGAUUCCAUGUUUCUGAAUCAUAACAUGAGAAAAGAUCCUAAACACGGUUAGUUUUAUUUGCAUUAUAUGUUGGAACCCUUACACAGAUUUACAUAGAGAUUAUUUGCAUCGCAGCACAAGCUUCAGGAGGAUUUAUAACUCUGUUUUUAUAAGAACUUUAUAACUCUGUGAAUCUGAACCAACAGCAACCAUGAGCUUCAUCACCAUCUUCAUCUGGAUAUUAACUAUCUACUGUUUCACAGAAUCAAGCGGUGAAGUGACAGUCACUCAGACGCCUGCAGUGAAAUCUGUUCGUCCAGGAGACUCAGUUACUGUAUCCUGUAAAACCAGUCCUGAAGUCUAUCAGGGUUGGGGUAAUCAACCUCUAGCCUGGUACUUACAGAAACCUGGAGAAGCUCCUAAACUCCUGAUUUAUUUAGCAAGCACCCUCCAGUCAGGAACUCCAUCUAGAUUCAGUGGCAGUGGAUCUAACAGUGAUUUCACUCUGACCAUCAGUGGAGUCCAGACUGAAGAUGCUGGACAUUAUUACUGUCAUAGUUUCCACUAUCCAAACAGUAAAUAUGUGUUCACACAGUGAUAAAGAGUCGUACAAAAACCUCCGUCAGUCAGAGUCACAGUGACUGAACUGAUACUGCAGCUGCUCAAAGGAGGAUCUGAAACAACAUCGUCACACAAACAUCUGAAAUAAAAUCAUCUAAAUUAAUCUGCCACUCUUAAUAAUUAUAGAGGUCAGAAAGAGAUUUUGUGCUCUUAUAGAUCAGUCACACGUUUGAGAUCUGACUGAUUUCAGUUGCUGCAUUUUAUUAAUAAUAGAUGUUAAUUUUCAUAAUUCUCCAUGGUUAUUUGAUUUGAGUAUCUCAUCCUAACAUGUCAUUUGUACACUAUACACUGUAUUCAUACUAUAUACUGCAGACAGUAAGAGUUUUAUAUCAGCUGCUGUUUUAAUUGUAGUCCUGAUCAACAGUUCAGUUCAGACACGCCUCUCCCUCCUCUGCACCAAUCACAG